This 492-nucleotide ribosomal RNA is filed under the name uncultured bacterium. Its description in RNAcentral is "partial 16S ribosomal RNA". It matches the Rfam family "Bacterial small subunit ribosomal RNA", at positions 29 to 507 of the family's 1533-position model. The record is from RNAcentral.
AGUGAACGCUGGCGGUAGGCCUAACACAUGCAAGUCGAACGGCAGCACAGUAAGAGCUUGCUCUUACGGGUGGCGAGUGGCGGACGGGUGAGGAAUACAUCGGAAUCUACUUUUUCGUGGGGGAUAACGUAGGGAAACUUACGCUAAUACCGCAUACGACCUACGGGUGAAAGCAGGGGAUCUUCGGACCUUGCGCGAUUGAAUGAGCCGAUGUCGGAUUAGCUAGUUGGCGGGGUAAAGGCCCACCAAGGCGACGAUCCGUAGCUGGUCUGAGAGGAUGAUCAGCCACACUGGAACUGAGACACGGUACAGACUCCUACGGGAGGCAGCAGUGGGGAAUAUUGGACGAUGGGCGCAAGACUGAUCCAGCCAUACCGCGUGGGUGAAGAAGGCCUUCGGGUUGUAAAGCCCUUUUGUUGGGAAAGACAAGCAGCAGGUUAAUACCCCGCUGUUCUGACGGUACCCAAAGAAUAAGCACCGGCUAACUUCGUG